UGCUGUGAUGAUGUAAUUUGCGUCUUAUCCAGUGUUCAGUGACAGUUGCCUGCUGUCAGUAUGCUGGCACUGUUGGAUUGAAGACAUUUCUAUUCUGAGCA
RNAcentral lists this small nucleolar RNA (101 nucleotides) under Tinamus guttatus (white-throated tinamou). RNAcentral's name for it is "Small nucleolar RNA SNORD16". It matches the Rfam family "Small nucleolar RNA SNORD16". From Rfam's summary of the family: U16 is a member of the C/D class of snoRNA which contain the C (UGAUGA) and D (CUGA) box motifs. U81 acts as a guanine methylation guide and is found in an intron of ribosomal proteins L1 gene in animals. The record is from Rfam by way of RNAcentral. Lineage: Eukaryota; Metazoa; Chordata; Aves; Tinamiformes; Tinamidae.